Molecule: ribosomal RNA, 253 nt
Filed under: uncultured bacterium
Lineage: Bacteria
Description: partial 16S ribosomal RNA
Rfam family: Bacterial small subunit ribosomal RNA
Source: RNAcentral
UACGUAGGGUCCGAGCGUUGUCCGGAAUUACUGGGCGUAAAGAGCUCGUAGGUGGUUUGUCGCGUUGUUCGUGAAAACUCACAGCUCAACUGUGGGCGUGCGGGCGAUACGGGCAGACUUGAGUACUGCAGGGGAGACUGGAAUUCCUGGUGUAGCGGUGGAAUGCGCAGAUAUCAGGAGGAACACCGGUGGCGAAGGCGGGUCUCUGGGCCGUUACUGACGCUGAGGAGCGAAAGCGUGGGGAGCGAACAGG